This 390-nucleotide ribosomal RNA is filed under the name Podarcis filfolensis (Filfola wall lizard). RNAcentral's name for it is "partial 12S ribosomal RNA". It matches the Rfam family "Bacterial small subunit ribosomal RNA", at positions 794 to 1384 of the family's 1533-position model. Lineage: Eukaryota; Metazoa; Chordata; Lepidosauria; Squamata; Lacertidae. The record is from RNAcentral.
GCUAAGCCCUGAACAUUGAUAGUUACUAAUACAAUACUUUCCGCCAGAGAACUACAAGUGAAAAACUUGAAACUCAAAGGACUUGACGGUGUCCCACAUCGACCUAGAGGAGCCUGUCCUAUAACCGAUAAUCCCCGUUCCACCCAACCUCAACUAGCAAAAUAUCAGCCUAUAUACCGCCGUCGACAGUUUACCCUAUGAAGGCUCAAUAGUAGACACAAUAGCCUUUAACGCUAAUACGUCAGGUCAAGGUGUAGCAUAUGUUGAGGAAAAGAUUGGCUACAUUUUUUAUGAUAAAAAACACGAAUUGCACUAUGAAACACUGCAUGAAGGUGAAUUUAGCAGUAAAACAGAUAAGAGUGUCUGUUUUAACAACGCUCUGGGACGCGU